RNAcentral lists this ribosomal RNA (715 nucleotides) under Pseudomonas aeruginosa. RNAcentral describes it as "bacterial SSU rRNA". It matches the Rfam family "Bacterial small subunit ribosomal RNA", at positions 31 to 743 of the family's 1533-position model. Lineage: Bacteria; Pseudomonadati; Pseudomonadota; Gammaproteobacteria; Pseudomonadales; Pseudomonadaceae. The record is from RNAcentral.
CGACCUUGUCGGAAGGCCUAACCAUGCAAGUCGAGCGGAUGAAGGGAGCUUGCUCCUGGAUUCAGCGGCGGACGGGUGAGUAAUGCCUAGGAAUCUGCCUGGUAGUGGGGGAUAACGUCCGGAAACGGGCGCUAAUACCGCAUACGUCCUGAGGGAGAAAGUGGGGGAUCUUCGGACCUCACGCUAUCAGAUGAGCCUAGGUCGGAUUAGCUAGUUGGUGGGGUAAAGGCCUACCAAGGCGACGAUCCGUAACUGGUCUGAGAGGAUGAUCAGUCACACUGGAACUGAGACACGGUCCAGACUCCUACGGGAGGCAGCAGUGGGGAAUAUUGGACAAUGGGCGAAAGCCUGAUCCAGCCAUGCCGCGUGUGUGAAGAAGGUCUUCGGAUUGUAAAGCACUUUAAGUUGGGAGGAAGGGCAGUAAGUUAAUACCUUGCUGUUUUGACGUUACCAACAGAAUAAGCACCGGCUAACUUCGUGCCAGCAGCCGCGGUAAUACGAAGGGUGCAAGCGUUAAUCGGAAUUACUGGGCGUAAAGCGCGCGUAGGUGGUUCAGCAAGUUGGAUGUGAAAUCCCCGGGCUCAACCUGGGAACUGCAUCCAAAACUACUGAGCUAGAGUACGGUAGAGGGUGGUGGAAUUUCCUGUGUAGCGGUGAAAUGCGUAAAUAUAGGAAGGAACACCAGUGGCAAGGCGACCACCUGGACUGAUACUGA